This 253-nucleotide non-coding RNA is filed under the name bacterium. RNAcentral's name for it is "partial 16S ribosomal RNA". It matches the Rfam family "Bacterial small subunit ribosomal RNA", at positions 524 to 776 of the family's 1533-position model. RNAcentral also lists the same sequence under 2 other names. The record is from RNAcentral.
UACGUAGGUGGCAAGCGUUGUCCGGAAUUAUUGGGCGUAAAGCGCGCGCAGGCGGUCCCUUAAGUCUGAUGUGAAAGCCCACGGCUCAACCGUGGAGGGUCAUUGGAAACUGGGGGACUUGAGUGCAGAAGAGGAAAGUGGAAUUCCAUGUGUAGCGGUGAAAUGCGUAGAGAUGUGGAGGAACACCAGUGGCGAAGGCGACUUUCUGGUCUGUAACUGACGCUGAGGCGCGAAAGCGUGGGGAGCAAACAGG